Long non-coding RNA from Thalassophryne amazonica, 132 nucleotides. RefSeq lists it as uncharacterized. The transcript is spliced from 3 exons. The record is from RefSeq and is a predicted model, not a curated record. NCBI's taxonomy places the organism in Eukaryota, Metazoa, Chordata, Actinopteri, Batrachoidiformes, Batrachoididae.
UGUGCUCUCCGAUCUAAACAGUAGCCAACCAGUCAUUUUCUGUUGUCAUAUUUGAAUUCAGCAUGCCAAAAUCCAUUGUAAAUAGCACAUUAUAUUUCUGAAGCAGGCGUCUUAAAAUUUGUAGACCAGUGU